GCUUGCUUUGACAAUACAAAGUCUAAAACUGAAACACAAAAGAGAAGAUUAGCAAGGCCCCUGCGCAAGGAUGACACGCUAAUCCGUGAAGCGUUCCAUAUUUUC
Molecule: small nuclear RNA, 105 nt
Organism: Phyllostomus discolor (pale spear-nosed bat)
Lineage: Eukaryota; Metazoa; Chordata; Mammalia; Chiroptera; Phyllostomidae
Source: RefSeq, a predicted model, not a curated record